RNAcentral lists this ribosomal RNA (405 nucleotides) under uncultured bacterium. RNAcentral describes it as "bacterial SSU rRNA". It matches the Rfam family "Bacterial small subunit ribosomal RNA", at positions 355 to 776 of the family's 1533-position model. The record is from RNAcentral.
UGGGGGAUAUUGCACAAUGGGGGGAACCCUGAUGCAGCGACGCCGCGUGGGUGAAGGAGUAUUUCGGUAUGUAAAGCCCUAUCGGCAGGGAAGAAUUUAGACGGUACCUGACUAAGAAGCCCCGGCUAACUACGUGCCAGCAGCCGCGGUAAUACGUAGGGGGCAAGCGUUAUCCGGAUUCACUGGGUGUAAAGGGAGCGUAGACGGCCAGGCAAGCCUGGAGUGAAAGCCCGGGGCCCAACCCCGGGACUGCUCUGGGAACUGUCCGGCUGGAGUGCGGGAGGGGCAGGCGGAAUUCCUGGUGUAGCGGUGAAAUGCGUAGAUAUCAGGAGGAACACCGGCGGCGAAGGCGGCCUGCUGGACCGCGACUGACGUUGAGGCUCGAAAGCGUGGGGAGCGAACAGG